This 204-nucleotide non-coding RNA is filed under the name Candidatus Segetimicrobium genomatis. RNAcentral describes it as "Terrabacteria group bacterium ANGP1 6S RNA". It matches the Rfam family "6S / SsrS RNA". From Rfam's summary of the family: E. coli 6S RNA was the first non coding RNA to be sequenced, but its function was unknown until recently. It consists of 184 nucleotides that fold into an extended hairpin structure with a large single-stranded internal bulge. Lineage: Bacteria; Bacillati; Candidatus Sysuimicrobiota; Candidatus Sysuimicrobiia; Candidatus Sysuimicrobiales; Candidatus Segetimicrobiaceae. The record is from RNAcentral.
UGGCUCCUGCGGUGUGCGCAAGCCUUGUAGUCCCGAGCCAACAGAUAGACAAAGGGAGUCCGGCUCCGGACGGGGACGACGGGCCCCGGCCAUCCUCUGCGGCCUCACCGGCCGCAAAGGGGGGCUAGCCGAAACCGCCCGGGAGGACACCCACCUGCGAGGGGCAGGUUCGGAGACUGCAGGCGGCGGCCCCGCGGGAGCCGU